This 476-nucleotide ribosomal RNA is filed under the name uncultured bacterium. Its description in RNAcentral is "SSU rRNA". It matches the Rfam family "Bacterial small subunit ribosomal RNA", at positions 26 to 521 of the family's 1533-position model. The record is from RNAcentral.
AGGAUGAACGCUGGCGGCGUGCCUAACACAUGCAAGUCGAACGUCCUGUCUCGCAAGAGGCAGGGAGUGGCGGACGGGUGAGUACCACGUGGGUCAUCUACCGUGAGGUGAGGAAUACCGGCGAGAAAUCGCCGACAAGACCGCAUAGGCUCGAUGCAAGUCGAGCAAAGCUCUUUCGAGAGAGGGAGCGCCACACGAGGAGCCUGCGCCCGAUUAGCUAGCUGGUGGAGUAACGGUUCACCAGGGCGACGAUCGGUAGCUGGUCUGAGAGGACGAUCAGCCACACUGGGAUUGAGAACGGCCCAGACUCCUACGGGGGGCAGCAGUGAGGAAUUUUCGUCAAUGGGGGCAACCCUGAACGAGCAACGCCGCGUGCAGGAAGAAGGUUUCGGAUCGUAAACUGCUUUUCUCGGGAAGAGGAACGGACGGUACCCGAGGAAUCGAGCCCCGGCUAACUACGCGCCAGCAGCCGCGGU